Molecule: ribosomal RNA, 979 nt
Filed under: Verticimonosporium diffractum
Lineage: Eukaryota; Fungi; Ascomycota; Sordariomycetes; Hypocreales; Hypocreaceae
Also listed under: 1 other name
Description: SSU rRNA
Rfam family: Eukaryotic small subunit ribosomal RNA
Source: RNAcentral
AUGCAUGUCUAAGUAUAAGCAAUUAUACGGCGAAACUGCGAAUGGCUCAUUAUAUAAGUUAUCGUUUAUUUGAUAAUACUUUACUACUUGGAUAACCGUGGUAAUUCUAGAGCUAAUACAUGCUAAAAAUCCCGACUUCGGAAGGGUUGUAUUUAUUAGAUUAAAAACCAAUGCCCUCUGGGCUCUCUGGUGAAUCAUAAUAACUUGUCGAAUCGACAGGCCUUGUGCCGGCGAUGGCUCAUUCAAAUUUCUUCCCUAUCAACUUUCGAUGUUUGGGUAUUGGCCAAACAUGGUGGCAACGGGUAACGGAGGGUUAGGGCUCGACCCCGGAGAAGGAGCCUGAGAAACGGCUACUACAUCCAAGGAAGGCAGCAGGCGCGCAAAUUACCCAAUCCCGACACGGGGAGGUAGUGACAAUAAAUACUGAUACAGGGCUCUUUUGGGUCUUGUAAUCGGAAUGAGUACAAUUUAAAUCCCUUAACGAGGAACAAUUGGAGGGCAAGUCUGGUGCCAGCAGCCGCGGUAAUUCCAGCUCCAAUAGCGUAUAUUAAAGUUGUUGUGGUUAAAAAGCUCGUAGUUGAACCUUGGGCCUGGCUGGCCGGUCCGCCUCACCGCGUGCACUGGUCCGGCCGGGCCUUUCCCUCUGUGGAACCCCAUGCCCUUCACUGGGUGUGGCGGGGAAACAGGACUUUUACUUUGAAAAAAUUAGAGUGCUCCAGGCAGGCCUAUGCUCGAAUACAUUAGCAUGGAAUAAUAAAAUAGGACGUGCGGUUCUAUUUUGUUGGUUUCUAGGACCGCCGUAAUGAUUAAUAGGGACAGUCGGGGGCAUCAGUAUUCAAUUGUCAGAGGUGAAAUUCUUGGAUUUAUUGAAGACUAACUACUGCGAAAGCAUUUGCCAAGGAUGUUUUCAUUAAUCAGGAACGAAAGUUAGGGGAUCGAAGACGAUCAGAUACCGUCGUAGUCUUAACCAUAAACUAUG